GCUUGAAUUACUGGGCGUAAAGCGUGCGUAGGUGGUUUGUUAAGUCUGAUGUGAAAGCCCUGGGCUCAACCUGGGAACUGCAUUGGAAACUGGCUGACUAGAGUGCGGUAGAGGGGUGUGGAAUUCCCGGUGUAGCAGUGAAAUGCGUAGAUAUCGGGAGGAACAUCUGUGGCGAAGGCGACACCCUGGACCAGCACUGACACUGAGGCACGAAAGCGUGGGGAGCAAACAGGAUUAGAUACCCUGGUAGUCCACGCCCUAAACGAUGCGAAUUGGAUGUUGGGGGCAACUUGGCCCUCAGUAUCGAAGCUAACGCGUUAAGUUCGCCGCCUGG
RNAcentral lists this ribosomal RNA (334 nucleotides) under uncultured bacterium. RNAcentral's name for it is "bacterial SSU rRNA". It matches the Rfam family "Bacterial small subunit ribosomal RNA", at positions 544 to 876 of the family's 1533-position model. The record is from RNAcentral.